GAUGAACGCUAGCUACAGGCUUAACACAUGCAAGUCGCGGGGCAGCAUGGGGGUUGCUUGCCAUCCCCGAUGGCGACCGGCGCACGGGUGAGUAACGCGUAUUCAACCUGCCCUUCACCACGGGAUAACCCGGCGAAAGUCGGACUAAUACCGUAUGUUGUCCAUUGACGGCAUCCGAUUUGGACGAAAGGCUUGGCGGUGAGGGAUGGGGAUGCGUCCGAUUAGCCAGACGGCGGGGUAACGGCCCACCGUGGCUACGAUCGGUAGGGGUUCUGAGAGGAAGGUCCCCCACACUGGAACUGAGACACGGUCCAGACUCCUACGGGAGGCAGCAGUGAGGAAUAUUGGGCAAUGGGCGUAAGCCUGAACCAGCCAAGUAGCGUGCAGGAUGACGGCCCUAUGGGUUGUAAACUGCUUUUAUGCGGGGAUAAAGUGGCCCACGUGUGGGCUUUUGCAGGUACCGCAUGAAUAAGGACCGGCUAAUUCCGUG
Molecule: ribosomal RNA, 490 nt
Filed under: uncultured bacterium
Lineage: Bacteria
Description: partial 16S ribosomal RNA
Rfam family: Bacterial small subunit ribosomal RNA
Source: RNAcentral